GCCUUAUCGAGAGCGGUGGAGGGAACGGCCCGAUGAAACCCGGCAACCUGCAAUGCAAGGUGCCAAAUCCGGCGAGGAAAUCGAAAGAUGAGGA
RNAcentral lists this non-coding RNA (94 nucleotides) under Flavonifractor plautii. RNAcentral describes it as "SAM-I sequence". It matches the Rfam family "SAM riboswitch aptamer (S box leader)". Rfam says of the family: The SAM riboswitch is found upstream of a number of genes which code for proteins involved in methionine or cysteine biosynthesis in Gram-positive bacteria. The SAM riboswitch acts at the level of transcription termination control. RNAcentral also lists the same sequence under 1 other name. The record is from RNAcentral. Lineage: Bacteria; Bacillati; Bacillota; Clostridia; Eubacteriales; Oscillospiraceae.